ACGACGUCAACUUCUAUGUGGCACCAAAAUGAGGAGAGCCGGUGAAUGACUUCAGAUCCCAAGGUUCCAACAAGAAAUAACCUGAAUGACUCACCGGUCACCAGCAUGUCUUCAGGAAUUUCCUCAAUGAUACAUUUUUCCUUCUGCUGUCCAAUAUCAAAGUACAUGGCUGCUGCCGACAUCAGCAACACAAGGCUCCAAACCUGGUGCAGCCAGGUGGUGCGUCGGUACAAGUUGAGGAUGUGGCACAGCGUGGAGUCUGCUGUCUCCUCCACUGAGGCUGCUGGCAUAUUACAUACAGCUAUGCCUGUUGGACCAGAGAGCAGAUAAGGAUUAGGAACAGCUUUUUGGGCCAUUAAAGGAGUUUUCUCCUCAAACACCACUGGAAGCUUUCAAAUGGCAGAGAAUCUUGGUGAAAGAAGAUAUUAAUAGAGCGCUGGCUGAUGUAGAAAAGACAUGAGUAAAAAAUUCAAAAUACAUAAAUGCUUGACUGACUUUUAAACAUGGCAGUGAUCAGUGGAAGCAAAGAAAAUGUAGGUUUUUUUGAAAAUAAUCACUUUAUGUCUGUAACAAUUUAAGAGUUUAACAGUAAAGCCAACAUAUUAAACAGUAAAAAUGCUUCAUUCAUCAAACCAGGAAAACUACAAUAAAACAAUUAAGAGCACAUAAAAAUAAAACCAAAACAAGCAUACAGAUGUAGUUACAAUUAAAGAAAAGGCUAGCUGAGACUGGCUGUUUUUUCAGUAGCUAAAUUAGUGAGUGAGUAUGUUACACUUAUGACAAAUUAUAUUUAUAUGAAGCUGUUAUUGUUAUCUUAAAAGUUAAAAUAUAAGCCAUAUUGGUCGUUAACUGAUGAUAUGUCUUUAAAUGUGACAGUUUCAUUUAGGAAAUAAGAAAAGCAACCUUUUGUUUUGAACUACUUGGAACAAUUCUCUGUAUUAGCGUAGGAAUGUGAUAUCUCAGGAAUUUCUUCAAAAUUUGGCCCUAAUAUCCAUUCAAGCAUGACUUGAUUAGACUAUGGUGGUCAUAGGUCAAAGUGACAGUGACCUCGCAUCUGCACCAUUCCUGUGAAUUAUAAUGGCUGGCUGAGGCAUACGUGAAGCAGUAAUUCUAGUUUUCUUUUGAAUCCAUCGGACACACAGUAAACAAUCCCUAAUAACUACCUUUUAUCUGUUCUGGUGAAAUGAACAAGGGUCAUUUGACAACAGCAUUAAACCUUGUUCAACACUGGCAGCAACAGAAUGCAGCAAGUUAUUAAAUAUGUGGAAAAGCAUGUUUGUAGUAGAUGUAGUAGAUUACUACUCUACUUUGUAAACUGAAAGCUGGAUUUGUACUGUUCACCUCACAAUUGUUGCUUCAGUAGAUUAAUUGUUUGCCAGUGAUGAACUUAUUUUUAAUGCCUUCAACGCUUACAGGAUUAUAAGGAUAUGGACAUUGUAACAGUGAAGUAUGAUGUUACUUGUACACACUUUUUCGUCCUGUGUGUGCGUGUG
Monopterus albus (swamp eel) is the source of this 1493-nucleotide long non-coding RNA. RefSeq lists it as uncharacterized. The record is from RefSeq and is a predicted model, not a curated record. NCBI's taxonomy places the organism in Eukaryota, Metazoa, Chordata, Actinopteri, Synbranchiformes, Synbranchidae. The transcript has 5 exons.